Molecule: ribosomal RNA, 357 nt
Filed under: uncultured bacterium
Lineage: Bacteria
Description: bacterial SSU rRNA
Rfam family: Bacterial small subunit ribosomal RNA
Source: RNAcentral
AGAGUUUGAUCCUGGCUCAGGAUGAACGCUAGCUACAGGCUUAACACAUGCAAGUCGAGGGGAAACGAUAUUGGAAAGCUUGCUUCCGAUAGGCGUUGACCGGCGCACGGGUGAGUAACGCGUAUCCAACCUGCCCACCACUUGGGGAUAACCUUGCGAAAGUAAGACUAAUACCCAAUGAUAUCUCUAGAAGACAUCUGAAAGAGAUUAAAGAUUUAUCGGUGAUGGAUGGGGAUGCGUCUGAUUAGCUUGUUGGCGGGGUAACGGCCCACCAAGGCAACGAUCAGUAGGGGUUCUGAGAGGAAGGUCCCCCACAUUGGAACUGAGACACGGUCCAAACUCCUACGGGAGGGAGCA